RNAcentral lists this transfer RNA (84 nucleotides) under bacterium. Its description in RNAcentral is "tRNA-Leu". It matches the Rfam family "tRNA". Rfam says of the family: Transfer RNA (tRNA) molecules are approximately 80 nucleotides in length. The record is from RNAcentral.
GCGGCCGUGACGAAAUUGGUAGCACGUGCACGCUUGAGGGGCGUGUGAGCUUAGCUCGUGUGGGUUCGAGUCCCAUCGGCCGCA